RNAcentral lists this long non-coding RNA (3063 nucleotides) under Homo sapiens (human). RNAcentral describes it as "HSALNT0226706". The record is from RNAcentral. Lineage: Eukaryota; Metazoa; Chordata; Mammalia; Primates; Hominidae.
AGUAGAGACAGUUUCACCAGGUUGGCCAGGAUGGUCUCGAUCUCUUGACCUCAUGAUCUGCCCGCCUUGGCCUCCCAAAGUGCUGGGAUUACAGGUGUGAGCCACCGCGCCUGGCCAACAAUUAACUUUUAAUGAAAAUAACUGAGGAAGAGCACCAGAGUGCUUUAGAGGAGUAACAGAAACCUGGUGAGCAGAGAAACUCAGGAUGGCCGCAUGAAGAACAGAAGGAAACACUGGGCCUGCACCCCAGUCCUCAACCAGGAUCAGCUGGGAAUGAGGCAAGGAGGACUGAAAUGACAGCUGUGCUCUGCCACUCUGCCAGUGUAUCUGGCUUCAUGAAGUCGGGGAUACUGCCAAGCCCUACCUUCUCGGGGUUCAGAGUCACUACUGCAUGGAGCCUCAGCCCUUGAACCCUGAGUUACGCUGAGCCCCUGAACCGUGAGUUACGCUGAGCCCCUGAACCGUGAGUUACUUUGAGCCCCUGAACCCUGAGUUACGCUGAGCUCCUGAAUCCUGAGUUACGCUGAGCCCCUGAACCCUGAGUUACGCUGAGCCCCUGAACCGUGAGUUACGCUGAGCCCCUGAACCGUGAGUUAUGCUGAGCUCCUGAAUCCUGAGUUACGCUGAGCCCCUGAACCGUGAGUUAUGCUGAGCCCCUGAACCGUGAGUUAUGCUGAGCUCCUGAAUCCUGAGUUACGCUGAGCCCCUGAACCGUGAGUUAUGCUGAGCCCCUGAACCGUGAGUUACGCUGAGCCCCUGAACCCUGAGUUACGCUGAGCUCCUGAACCCUGAGUUACGCUGAGCCCCUGAACCGUGAGUUAUGCUGAGCUCCUGAAUCCUGAGUUACGCUGAGCCCCUGAACCCUGAGUUACACUGAGCCCCUGAAUCCUGAGUUACGCUGAGCCCCUGAAUCCUGAGUUACGCUGAGCCCCUGAACCCUGAGUUAUACUGAGCCCUAUUGGCUCAGGCCCCGGAGUGGCAGCCAUACCCUGAUCCCCAGGUUUAAACAUGAAGAGCACCACAUCUUCCCCAGAGUUGGGUCAUUGCUCUGCCCCCCACAGUAGAAUCACAGCUACAACCCAGCCCCCUGGGCCUGACCUGCUAGAGAGUGCGUCAGAAGUACAGAUCCUGGCUUUGUGGGCAACGCACAUUCAACCCUGCCACAGAGAGUAAGCCUGCACCCAGUGACCCAGGCCUUGCCUCAAUUUGUACGCCAGGCUCUGAGCCUAGGACCCCAGCCCCACAGCUACUCCAAGCACCUGCAAACGAAAGCCAGUGCCACUGCAUUGUCUUGUGAGCCAUAUCAAGCUUGACACUAAAAGGUCCCCUUUGGCUGCAUGUCCCCAUUGUGGGGAAAAUAAGAAUAGGAGGAUCCCAAAAGCCCUUGACAUCAAGGACAUUAACAACCACUGCCACAAAUCUGUACAGCCUGGGCCUCAAGGCACCCACAGUUAUUGCUGAUGCUCAACACAGCUGAAGAGCUGCACCGAGACCAUAUCACUGCACCCAUCUGGAAACACAGCCACCACACCCUUUCCAACCAGCACACUAAGACCCAACUGCAGGUAAAAGUCUAUCUCUAUGAAAGCCACUCUAGAAACUUUGGAAGAGGCGAUUGUUCCACCAGGUGUACAGACAUCGGUGCAAGGACACAAGAAACAUGAAGCAGCAAGAAAAUCUGGCAUCAAAGGAACAUAAUUGUCUAGUAACAGAGCCCAGUGGAAAAGGAAAUCAGUGAACUGUCAGAAAUAAAUUCAAAAUAAUGAUCUUAAGAAAACUAAAUGAGGCCGGGCAUGGUGGCUUACGGCUGUACUUUGGGAGGCCAGGGGUGGGGGUGGAUCACCUGAGGUCGGGAGUUCAAGACCAGCCUGACCAACAUGGUGAAACCCCAUCUCUACUAAAUACAAAAAAUUAGCCAGGCGUAGUGGCACAUGCCUGUAAUCCCAGCUACUCAGGAGGCUGAGGCAGGAGAAUCGCUUGAACCCGGGAGGCGGAGGUUGCGGUGAGCCAAGAUCAUGCCAUUGCACUGCAGCCUGGGCAACAAGAGUGAAACUCCAUCUCAAGAAAGAAAAGAAAAGAAAACUAAAUGAGAUAAAAGAAAAUGCAGACAGGCAAUUCAACAAAAUCAGGAAAACAUAUAUUAAUGAGAAAUUCAACAAACAGAUAAAAAACCAUAACAAAGGAACAAGACAGAAAAUUCUGCAGCUGAGAAAUUCAAUUCGUGAAGUAAAAAAAUAUAAUGGCUUCAAUAGUAGUCUUGUCAAGCAGAAGAUUCUCUGAACUGGAAGACAGUUUGUUUCAAAUUACCCAACUGGAGAAAAAAAAAAGGAUUGGAAAGAAGAAAAUCUGUAAGACUUAAGGGACUCCAUUAAGCAUAGGCAUGUUUGUAUUAUGGGAGUUCCAGAGAGAGAAGAGUGAGGAUAAAGCAUAGAAAACCUACUUAAUGAAAAUUUCCCAAGUCUGGAGAGAGAUAUGGCCAUCUAGACCCAAGAAGCUCAAAGUAUCCCAAAUAUAUUAAACCCAAAAAGGUCCUCUCUGAGGCAAAUCAAAGUCAAAUUGUCAAAACUCAAAGACAAAGUGAGAAUUCUAAAAACAGCAAGAGGAAAGUGUCAAGUCACAUAUGAAGGAAUCUCCAUUAGACAAACAGCAGAUUUCUGUACAGAAACCUUUGAAGCCAGGAGAGGAGUGAUAUAGUCGAAGUGCUGAAAGGAGAAAGUUAUUAGCCAAACCUAUCUUUCAGAAAUGAGGGAGAAGUAAAGUCUUUUCCAGACAAACAGAAACUGAGGGAAUUAAUCGCUACUAGACUGACUAGUCUUGCAAGAAAUGCUGAAGGGAGUCCUACAUCUGGAAGCAAAAAGGUGGUAAUCACUAACUUGAAAACACGUAAAAGUAUAAAACUCACUGGUAGAGCAGAUAUAUAAAAGGGAAAGAGAAAAGAAUUAAACAUCACUACUGAAAACCACCAAACUGCAAUGAUAACAAGAAGAGAGGAACAAAGGAUGUAUAACCAGAAAACAAUUAACAAAAUGGGCCGGGCGUGGUGGCUCACACCUGUAAUCCCAG